AAACCAACAGGGAUUGCCUUAGUAGCGGCGAGUGAAGCGGCAAAAGCUCAAAUUUGAAAUCUGGUACUUUCAGUAUCCGAGUUGUAAUUUGUAGAAGCAACUUUGGUGAUGGUCUUUGCAUAAGUUCCUUGGAAUAGGACGUCAUAGAGGGUGAGAAUCCCGUAUAUGGUGAAGAACCCACACUAUGUAAAGUGCUUUCGAAGAGUCGAGUUGUUUGGGAAUGCAGCUCAAAGUGGGUGGUAAAUUCCAUCUAAAGCUAAAUAUUGGCGAGAGACCGAUAGCGAACAAGUACUGUGAAGGAAAGAUGAAAAGAACUUUGAAAAGAGAGUGAAAAAGUACGUGAAAUUGUUGAAAGGGAAGGGAUCUAAAUCAGACAUGGUAUUUUGUGAUCAACAGUCUUUCGGGAUUGUGCACUCGCAUUUUACUAGGCCAGCAUCGGUUAGAAGGGGGUAAAAAAGAUCCUGGAAUGUGGCUCCUCGGAGUGUUAUAGCCAAAGUUAAUUGCCCCAUUUCUGACCGAGGACCGCGUCUUUUGACUAGGAUGCUGGCGUAAUGGUUUUGAUCCAC
RNAcentral lists this ribosomal RNA (566 nucleotides) under Zygoascus hellenicus. RNAcentral describes it as "LSU rRNA". It matches the Rfam family "Eukaryotic large subunit ribosomal RNA", at positions 62 to 648 of the family's 3401-position model. The record is from RNAcentral. Lineage: Eukaryota; Fungi; Ascomycota; Dipodascomycetes; Dipodascales; Trichomonascaceae.